This 73-nucleotide transfer RNA is filed under the name Minisyncoccota bacterium. RNAcentral's name for it is "tRNA-Thr". It matches the Rfam family "tRNA". From Rfam's summary of the family: Transfer RNA (tRNA) molecules are approximately 80 nucleotides in length. Their secondary structure includes four short double-helical elements and three loops (D, anti-codon, and T loops). Lineage: Bacteria; Bacillati; Minisyncoccota. RNAcentral also lists the same sequence under 1 other name. The record is from RNAcentral.
GCCGAAGUAGCUCAGUUGGUAGAGCAACUCCAUGGUAAGGAGUAGGUCGCCGGUUCGAUUCCGGCCUUCGGCU